RNAcentral lists this ribosomal RNA (898 nucleotides) under Clostridium botulinum. RNAcentral describes it as "bacterial SSU rRNA". It matches the Rfam family "Bacterial small subunit ribosomal RNA", at positions 562 to 1462 of the family's 1533-position model. The record is from RNAcentral. Lineage: Bacteria; Bacillati; Bacillota; Clostridia; Eubacteriales; Clostridiaceae.
AAAGGGUGCGUAGGCGGAUGUUUAAGUGGGAUGUGAAAUCCCCGGGCUUAACCUGGGGGCUGCAUUCCAAACUGGAUAUCUAGAGUGCAGGAGAGGAAAGCGGAAUUCCUAGUGUAGCGGUGAAAUGCGUAGAGAUUAGGAAGAACACCAGUGGCGAAGGCGGCUUUCUGGACUGUAACUGACGCUGAGGCACGAAAGCGUGGGUAGCAAACAGGAUUAGAUACCCUGGUAGUCCACGCCGUAAACGAUGGAUACUAGGUGUAGGGGGUAUCAACUCCCCCUGUGCCGCAGUUAACACAAUAAGUAUCCCGCCUGGGGAGUACGGUCGCAAGAUUAAAACUCAAAGGAAUUGACGGGGGCCCGCACAAGCAGCGGAGCAUGUGGUUUAAUUCGAAGCAACGCGAAGAACCUUACCUGGACUUGACAUCCCUUGCAUAGCCUAGAGAUAGGUGAAGCCCUUCGGGGCAAGGAGACAGGUGGUGCAUGGUUGUCGUCAGCUCGUGUCGUGAGAUGUUAGGUUAAGUCCUGCAACGAGCGCAACCCUUGUUAUUAGUUGCUACCAUUAAGUUGAGCACUCUAAUGAGACUGCCUGGGUAACCAGGAGGAAGGUGGGGAUGACGUCAAAUCAUCAUGCCCCUUAUGUCCAGGGCUACACACGUGCUACAAUGGUAGGUACAAUAAGACGCAAGACCGUGAGGUGGAGCAAAACUUAUAAAACCUAUCUCAGUUCGGAUUGUAGGCUGCAACUCGCCUACAUGAAGCUGGAGUUGCUAGUAAUCGCGAAUCAGAAUGUCGCGGUGAAUACGUUCCCGGGCCUUGUACACACCGCCCGUCACACCAUGAGAGCUGGUAACACCCGAAGUCCGUGAGGUAACCGUAAGGAGCCAGCGGCCGAAGG